Molecule: ribosomal RNA, 496 nt
Filed under: uncultured bacterium
Lineage: Bacteria
Description: bacterial SSU rRNA
Rfam family: Bacterial small subunit ribosomal RNA
Source: RNAcentral
AAAGGAAUAGACGGGGACCCGCACAAGCAGCGGAGCAUGUUGUUUAAUUCGAAGAAACGCGAAAAACCUUACCAAGACUUGACAUUUGAUGCAUAUCUAAGAAAUUAGAGAAGUUAUAGCAAUAUAACAUCAAAACAGAUGGUGCAUGGUUGUCGUCAGCUCGUGUCGUGAGAUGUUGGGUUAAGUCCCGCAACGAGCGCAACCCUUGUCAAUAGUUGCCAGCAUUAAGUUGGGGACUCUAUUGAGACUGCCGUAGAUAAUACGGAGGAAGGUGAGGAUGACGUCAAAUCAUCAUGCCUCUUACGUCUUGGGCUACAAACGUGCUACAAUGGCCACCACAAAGAGAAGCAAAGCGGUAACGUGGAGCAAACCUCAAAAAAGUGGCCCCAGUUCAGACUGAGGGCUGAAACUCGCCCUCACGAAGACGGAGUUGCUAGUAAUCCCAAAUCAGCAUGUUGGGGUGAAUGCGUUCCCGGGUCUUGUACACACCGCCCGU